CCGGGGCACGAACCUGCGUCCCCUGCAUCGGCAGGCGGACUCUUAACCACUGCGCCACCAGGGAAGCCCCACUGGCACAUUUUGAGGAGGGCUUCCUUCCACUUCUUCUCCCCUUUUCCUCUCAGGAGGUGAUUCAUAUUUCAAUAUAUUCCAGCUGAAAAAGGAUCCGAUUUUAAGCAGGUGGGAUAUGAAUACCUUCAUGAUAGUUUGGGGAGAACAUCCGAUGCGUGUAUGUGGUGGAUGCCCCCAGGAUGGAAUGUCUGGCACACAGGAGGGAUUCGACACACGUUCAUCUCCUUUGCUUCUC
This is a long non-coding RNA of Aethalodelphis obliquidens (Pacific white-sided dolphin), 307 nucleotides long. RefSeq lists it as uncharacterized. NCBI's taxonomy places the organism in Eukaryota, Metazoa, Chordata, Mammalia, Artiodactyla, Delphinidae. The transcript is spliced from 2 exons. The record is from RefSeq and is a predicted model, not a curated record.